GACGAACGCUGGCGGCGUGCCUAAUACAUGCAAGUCGAACGCAUUUUCUUUCACCGUAGCUUGCUACACCGAAAGAAAAUGAGUGGCGAACGGGUGAGUAACACGUGGGUAACCUGCCCAUCAGCGGGGGAUAACACUUGGAAACAGGUGCUAAUACCGCAUAAUUCCAUUUACCGCAUGGUAGAUGGAUGAAAGGCGCUUUUGCGUCACUGAUGGAUGGACCCGCGGUGCAUUAGCUAGUUGGUGGGGUAACGGCCUACCAAGGCUGCGAUGCAUAGCCGACCUGAGAGGGUGAUCGCCCACCCUGGGACUGAAACCCGGCCCAGACUCCUACGGGAGGCAGCAGUAGGGAAUCUUCGGCAAUGGACGCAAGCCUGACCGAGCAACGCCGCGGGAGUGAAGAAGGUUUUCGGAUCGUAAAACUCUUUUGUUAGAGAAAAAAAAGGAUGAGGGGGGAAAGUUCCUCCCUUGAAGGUAUCAAACCAAAAAGCCACGGCAAACUACGG
Molecule: ribosomal RNA, 506 nt
Filed under: uncultured bacterium
Lineage: Bacteria
Description: partial 16S ribosomal RNA
Rfam family: Bacterial small subunit ribosomal RNA
Source: RNAcentral